RNAcentral lists this ribosomal RNA (387 nucleotides) under uncultured bacterium. Its description in RNAcentral is "bacterial SSU rRNA". It matches the Rfam family "Bacterial small subunit ribosomal RNA", at positions 29 to 417 of the family's 1533-position model. The record is from RNAcentral.
AUUGAACGCUGGCGGCAUGCCUUACACAUGCAAGUCGAACGGCAGCACGGGAGCAAUCCUGGUGGCGAGUGGCGAACGGGUGAGUAAUAUAUCGGAACGUGCCCGGUCGUGGGGGAUAACGUAGCGAAAGCUACGCUAAUACCGCAUACGAUCUACGGAUGAAAGCGGGGGAUCGCAAGACCUCGCGCGAUUGGAGCGGCCGAUAUCAGAUUAGGUAGUUGGUGAGGUAAAGGCUCACCAAGCCGACGAUCUGUAGCUGGUCUGAGAGGACGACCAGCCACACUGGGACUGAGGCACGGCCCAGACUCCUACGGGAGGCAGCAGUGGGGAAUUUUGGACAAUGGGCGCAAGCCUGAUCCAGCAAUGCCGCGUGCAGGAUGAAGGCCU